GUGUCAGCAGCCGCGGUAAUACGAAGGAUCCAAGCGUUGUCCGGAUUUACUGGGUUUAAAGGGUGCGUAGGCGGAUUAUUAAGUCAGUGGUGAAAGCUUGCAGCUUAACUGUAAAAUUGCCAUUGAAACUGAUAAUCUCGAAUAUGGUUGAGGUGGUUGGAAUGUAUCAUGUAGCGGUGAAAUGCUUAGAUAUGAUACAGAACACCGAUUGCGAAGGCAGAUCACUAAACCAUUAUUGACGCUGAGGCACGAAAGCGUGGGGAUCAAACAGGAUUAGAUACCCCGGUAGUCC
This 292-nucleotide ribosomal RNA is filed under the name uncultured bacterium. RNAcentral's name for it is "partial 16S ribosomal RNA". It matches the Rfam family "Bacterial small subunit ribosomal RNA", at positions 505 to 796 of the family's 1533-position model. The record is from RNAcentral.